RNAcentral lists this ribosomal RNA (406 nucleotides) under uncultured bacterium. RNAcentral's name for it is "partial 16S ribosomal RNA". It matches the Rfam family "Bacterial small subunit ribosomal RNA", at positions 29 to 526 of the family's 1533-position model. The record is from RNAcentral.
AUUGAACGCUGGCGGCAGGCCUAACACAUGCAAGUCGAACGAGUGGCGGACGGGUGAGUAAUGUCUGGGAAACUGCCCGAUGGAGGGGGAUAACUACUGGAAACGGUAGCUAAUACCGCAUACUAUCGGAUGUGCCCAGAUGGGAUUAGCGAGUAGGGGGGGUAACGGCUCACCUGGGCGACGAGCCCUAGCUGGUCUGAGAGGAUGACCAGCCACACGGGAACUGAGACACGGUCCAGACUCCUACGGAAGGCAGCAGUGGGAAAUAUUGCACAAUGGGGGAAAGCCUGAUGCAGCCAGGCGGCGUGUAUAAAGAAGGCCUUCGGGUUGUAAGGUACUUUCAGCGGGGAGGCGGUACCCGCAGAAGAAGCACCGGCUAACUCCGUGCCAGCAGCCGCGGUAAUUC